Molecule: long non-coding RNA, 519 nt
Organism: Tarenaya hassleriana
Lineage: Eukaryota; Viridiplantae; Streptophyta; Magnoliopsida; Brassicales; Cleomaceae
Exons: 4
Source: RefSeq, a predicted model, not a curated record
UUUAAAAUAAGACAGUUUAACCGUAAGACUUACCAUUCGAUUAACGUUUUUUUUUCGGUAGUAAAUAUUUUUGAAAAAUAAUUUGUUGAUUAAGAUUAUUAUAUGAUAAUUAAUUAUAGGUGAAGAAAAUCUCGAGGUUAUUGAACCCGGGAUCGAGGAUUAGAGCGAAUCUUUCAGAGUUCAUCGUUUAGACCAAGGUGAAGAAAAUCUCGAGGUUAUUGAAACCGGGAUCGAGGAUUAGAGCGAAUCUUUCAGAGUUCAUCGGUUAGACCAAGGAUAUCUAGAAAGCUUCUGUUGAUGCUCCAAUCCCUCAGGAAGGUGGAACAGAAACAAACAGGGAAGCUACUGAUGGAGUUUUUCGGAAGGAGGUUGAUGGGAACAGAGUCUACAUCUCGCAGAAUGGAAGUCCCAAGUUCAAAGGUGGCAGUACUUAUUGGUAAAGGUGGCCCAUGGAUAAUAUCACUAUUGCAUCUGUCAAUUUUGAAAAUACAUGAACCAAACAAAAUUUCUAAAUAGACA